RNAcentral lists this ribosomal RNA (253 nucleotides) under uncultured bacterium. RNAcentral's name for it is "partial 16S ribosomal RNA". It matches the Rfam family "Bacterial small subunit ribosomal RNA", at positions 524 to 776 of the family's 1533-position model. The record is from RNAcentral.
UACGGGGGGGGCAAGCGUUGUUCGGAAUUACUGGGCGUAAAGGGUUCGUAGGUGGCCUACUAAGUCAGACGUGAAAUCCCUCAGCUUAACUGGGGAACUGCGUCUGAUACUGGGGGGCUUGAGGACAGGAGAGGAACGCGGAAUUCCAGGUGUAGCGGUGAAAUGCGUAGAUAUCUGGAGGAACACCGGUGGCGAAGGCGGCGUUCUGGACUGUUUCUGACACUGAGGAACGAAAGCCAGGGGAGCAAACGGG